This is a non-coding RNA of Schistosoma haematobium, 73 nucleotides long. NCBI's taxonomy places the organism in Eukaryota, Metazoa, Platyhelminthes, Trematoda, Strigeidida, Schistosomatidae. The record is from Rfam.
AGCCUUCUGUAUCCGUGCUGAGAUUUCGUCACACAUCAGACCACAAGGGCUGGUGAGACUUCCAAGUGAAGCG